This 481-nucleotide ribosomal RNA is filed under the name uncultured bacterium. RNAcentral's name for it is "partial 16S ribosomal RNA". It matches the Rfam family "Bacterial small subunit ribosomal RNA", at positions 28 to 523 of the family's 1533-position model. The record is from RNAcentral.
GACGAACGCUGGCGGCGUGCUUAACACAUGCAAGUCGAACGGUGAAGGGGAGCUUGCUCCCUGGAUCAGUGGCGAACGGGUGAGUAACACGUGGGCAACCUGCCCCUGACUUCGGGAUAACGCUUCGAAAGAGGUGCUAAUACCGGAUAUGAACCCUGAGGGCAUCCUCGGGGUUGGAAAGUUUUUCGGUCAGGGAUGGGCCCGCGGCCUUUCAGCUUGUUGGUGAGGUAGUGGCUCACCAAGGCGACGACGGGUAGCCGGCCUGAGAGGGCGACCAGCCACACUGGGACUGGGACACGGCCCAGACUCCUACGGGAGGCAGCAGUGGGGAAUAUUGCGCAAUGGGCGCACGCCUGACGCAGCAACGCCGCGUGAGGGAUGAAGGCCUUCGGGUUGUAAACCUCUUUCAGCAGGGAAGAAGCGAAAGUGACGGUACCUGCAGAAGAAGCACCGGCUAACUACGUGCCAGCAGCCGCCGUAA